UCAGCCUAGUGUUUUUUAAGUUGUCUUUCACAAUUAUUUUGCUGAAGAAUGGAGUUUAAUAAUAGCUACUCAAUGGCUACGAUGAAGCAGUGCAAGAGUACUUUUCACUUUAAAGCACAAAUUCAUAGCCUAAAAAUGAUAGUAUGAUAUGGCAACAAGCUAUUCUACUACUUGUAAAUUAAAAACUGACUCUUAUUUUAGACCUAAAUGUGAACUUGAUGUAGAGUAUAUUUGUAACUUAUACUUUGGUCAUGCCGGGAUUAGGUUUGCCUAAGCUUAAUUUAUUAAUAUUCUUAAUGCUGAUUUAGAGCACUGGAAUUAUUAGUCAUGUAUAUUUUCAAUAGUCGUUGGCGACUAUGUAUUAGUCUAUUAGCUAUAUAUCAAUUCAUGAACAGCAACAUAGGUAUCCAUCUUAUACUUGCAUUUUAUCACUCCACUGGGUUCAUCCUCUUCCAGUCAUAAAUUAUUAUAAGGACCAGUGUAUCAUGAUUUUAUUAAUUCAAUAUUUAAUAAGAAUUCGUGGAGACGUACCAUGGGUGAUAAGACUUAUGGUUCUAGGACCAGCAGUUCUGGGGAUUGACUCAGCUCUCUCAAAACCACUAAUGGUGGUUGCAAUGGCCCUAUGGGGGUCAAUAAAGGUAAAAGUCAAAUUCAUUUGGGUUAUUCGCUCAAUUCCAAUCGAAUGCAACUGGAUCUAGCAGAGUCUGAAUUGGCGAUCAGAACAUAUAUGGGUAGAACUUAUAAUGGGAUCUCGAAAAAUGACUAAUUUUUGCUGGGCCUGUUUCCUUUUUUUUUGGUUCACUAGGAUUCUUAGUGGUUACAAUUGAAAGACUUUGAACUGUGGCAAUCUUGGAUUGAUUGAACACUUGAGCUCUUCGCAACUAUGGAGCAUUCAUAGGAUUAUGGACUAGGUGUUGUAUCUUGACCUGCAUUGGGGUUUAGAGCAUACUAGAUCGACUUGCGCGGUUGCCAUUUAACUGCAGACAGCUAGAGAUCAGAUCAAUUUACAUGGUCGAUUUCUUUUUCCUGCAACCAUCUAUUUCAAACCUGCAUAAAUAGCUAGGCUUUAUAUGGUGGGCUCGUUUAACUAUAUGCAUCGUCUUUUACGUUGGGACUUUGGUAAAUUUCACCACUUUGUACUAUAUCUUGCGCACGAAGCCUUUUAAGAAGAUAAAUUUUGGAAAAAAAUCAAGUAAGAAGGUUAAUAAGGUUUCACUUUAGAAGCUUAUACUAUCAUGAACCAUUUGUCGCUCUUGUCUACAUGUAUAGCUGCUUGGCAGCAUGUUUUGGCUUGGUUUUAAGUCCUUUUGCUUGUAAAAAUGUAAGUUCGAACAAGUUGCAGCGUUACAGUGCGAUCGCUCACCGAACCGAGCAAAACAGCCCCAAAACAGCCCAAAACAGCUCCGUUUUCGCGUGCCACGGGCUGUUUUCUGCAGCCUGCUAUCGUACGUGAAACGUUAGCCAUCUCAGCACCCUGGAACCACUCGGGUGGCACCAUGGGGGAUGGAGUUUCGGUAUAGUGUCGGGCGUUGAACACUCUUUCGCAAGUUCGCACGUUACCUUAACGGGAACUUGUUGUCGCGCCCGGCACCCGGUGAGUAGCUGUUUGUGGACUUGCAGCUGUUCGUUCAACCCUCUAAAGUCCUUGUUUUCCUCCUCUCCCUCUUUUCUCUUGUGCACGCAAGGUGCUCAUUGAAUUGCUUGUAAAGCUUUCCCUUUUUGCGAGACGUCGAGACUUGUCCGUCGCUCGUUCUUCGAACUAAUCAACUUUCUCUUUUACAGGUCCUUCGAGACCUACGAGAGGUUGCAAGUGGGCUGAUCUUUGCGGACGCAAAUCGCAAGGGCGAAGCGCGACUUAGGCAACGCAAACUAAGUUCGCGUCUUUGCCGCAAGAGUGCCUCGCGACUUAGGCAACGCAAGCUAAGUUCGCGUCUUUGCCGUAAGGGUGCCUCACGACUUAGGCAAUUCCAGCUAAGUCCGUGACAUAUAAUUGCUUAUUCUUUUAGCAUUGCAAACUUAAAGUGUUCUCCUUACAAAAAUUAUGAUUCUCUUGAUAGUUUUUUAUACUUUUGUAUGGAUAACAGACUAGUAACCUAUAAAGAAUAGAAGUAUUGUAACAUAUGGAAAUCACUUUAUUAUUUUUAUUUGAGAUUUUAGUAAAUUUUGGAGGCAAGUGUACUACUUUUGAACUGAUUAUUGUUGUCUGUCUUUUGAUCAUUAAAUUGCCAACAUAGUUUGCAAAUAUCACGGAAUGGUACUUCAAGUUUACGUCAUACGAUCACAAAAUUCAGAUUUGCAUCAGAGGAGAGCUUUACGUCAUACGAUCACAAAAUUCAGAUUUGCAUCAGAGGAGAGCAUCACAGUAAAGCAUCUUCAUCAGUCAGUUUUGGAAUUGUUCCUUGUGAACUUUUGUUGCAUCUGGCAACAUGUUGUCAUUUAAGCAGCAUAUGUGGUGCUAAAAAUUCUUCGUUCACAUAGAUCUUAAAUUCAUCAUUCACAUAUAUCUUAAGCACUAGGAAUGUUGGUUUGAAAUUUGAUACUUUUGUACUUCAUGGCUGCACACCUCUGUUCGUACCUAGUUAUAUAGGAUAAUAGGAAUAAAUUUUUGACCUAGAGGAAAGGAUAUGAUCACUUGUAAUAUGUUUAUUUUUUGUUUUGGCUUAAGAUCAUGAAACAAUAUAAACUUUGGUUUCUUUUACAUCUAUUGUAGUAUUAUUUAAGCUUGUACGUAAUUUGACAGUAUUAAGACCUUUCAUGUGUGAAUCUGCUAUUUUUCCAUUGUGAUUUCCAAUGUAGUCACCAACAACAAGUUGCAAUGUCUCACCCUUUUGGUGUUCACUAGAUGGAUAUAUAUAUUUUUCGCUAUUGAGCUUUGAGUAAGGCAACAUCUGUAGUUAAGCUAGGGCAUUUGAAACUCUUGUUGUUGUUUCCCUUCUCAUAUCAUUAAUCUCAAUCAACUCACCUCCUUUACUUACAACAUCCAUAAGUUCAAAUAUCUCCCUUGUUCUUAUAAAUUGGUAUCUAAAGCCCAUCCUUUCUUUCUUCAUUAGGUUUUUUUUAAUUUCCAAAUUUUAUAAAAUAAGCUUACUUUUACUUUGUAUUUGUUGCGUUUGAACUCAUAAUUGUGUUGUUUAAAUAUUUUCAAUUUUAGAAAAGGUGCAAAUUCAACAGUUGCUUCCAAAAAUCUGCUACAAGAGAAGUUAAAGAGUCAGGGAAAAGGUUAAGACAAGUGCUAUGAGCAUAUCAGGAAAGCUGUUGAGGCAAGGUUCAACAAGUUGUUGACUGAGAUGUAUUUGAAGAUCUAAAAUCUGCCCUAGAGGAAGCUAAAAUGAUAUGGAAUUUUCCAGCUAAUGGUUAAUUGGUAUACUGAAAGAUUUCUUCAAAUGCUUAGAUUGCUUAGUGACAGAGCAAAUACAUUGACAAAUCUGGAGAUCUUGAAGUUAACUGGUUGAGAUCUUGAAGUUAACUGGUUGGGUUGUUGAGUAUCAAGAGAAUUUGGUUGGCCUUGGUGUUGAUGAAUCUCUUGCCCAAGUUUGUUCUGAAAGUGGUGCAAUGGAUCCCCUUAUGAAUAUGCAUAUAUUGGAAGGACACAAGCAACAACUGAAGCAUCCUUUUAUUGUAUUCUCAUUGAAUAAAUAAUAUACUGAGGAAUGAUUAAGUUUGAUAAUGAAUUUUCUUCUGUAGAAAUGGUACACAAAUAUUCUUGAGGCAGAUAAGGUACAAUCACCAAAGAAAACAGAAGAUGGUAGAUUGUAUACACCAGCAGCAGUCGAUUUAUUCAGGAUCUUGG
Musa acuminata AAA Group (dessert banana) is the source of this 3790-nucleotide long non-coding RNA. RefSeq lists it as uncharacterized. The transcript is spliced from 5 exons. The record is from RefSeq and is a predicted model, not a curated record. NCBI's taxonomy places the organism in Eukaryota, Viridiplantae, Streptophyta, Magnoliopsida, Zingiberales, Musaceae.